Long non-coding RNA from Triticum aestivum (bread wheat), 458 nucleotides. RefSeq lists it as uncharacterized. The transcript has 3 exons. NCBI's taxonomy places the organism in Eukaryota, Viridiplantae, Streptophyta, Magnoliopsida, Poales, Poaceae. The record is from RefSeq and is a predicted model, not a curated record.
GUUGUGGAUUGCAGUAGCGACCAGGGUGGUGGCGACGACCAGGGCCCCUGCUCCUGGCUGCGCAACAGGAACAAGCGAUUGGCUGCCAAGGGGUGCAGUUGUUGCUCAUCGCCAUCUACCUUCUGUAAUCCCAUCUCCUACAAUCUUCGCGUUUACGAUCACUGUCACCUCCUUUCUUAGUCAGCACGGAGGCAGUUGUGGUUGUCUGAUACGAGGCGAUGGCUGCUGCACCCAAUGCCUUCUCGGCUCAUUUGGAGAAGUAGAUCGUUGAGCAGAUAAAAGAUUCCAUCGUUUUUGUGGAUGUCUUUCCCAACUUGGACUACAAAGACGAUUUGGAAAAUCUUAUGGCUGCGGUGAAAACUGUUCCAGUGAAGAAAAGAGAAGAGGUGCUGAAACAGGGACAAUCUGGCACUGGCUCUGUUGUGGGAGUUACAGAAGAUGAAAUCACCAUCCUAUCA